GAUGAAGAACGCAGCGAAAUGCGAUAAGUAAUGUGAAUUGCAGAAUUCAGUGAAUCAUCGAAUCUUUGAACGCACAUUGCGCCCCCUGGUAUUCCGGGGGGCAUGCCUGUUCGAGCGUCAUUUCACCACUCAAGCCUCGCUUGGUAUUGGGCAACGCGGUCCGCCGCGUGCCUCAAAUCGUCCGGCUGGGUCUUCUGUCCCCUAAGCGUUGUGGAAACUAUUCGCUAAAGGGUGUUCGGGAGGCUACGCCGUAAAACAACCCCAUUUCUAAGGUUGACCUCGGAUCAGGUAGGGAUACCCGCUGAACUUAAGCAUAUCAAAAGCGGAGGA
This 330-nucleotide unclassified non-coding RNA is filed under the name soil metagenome. RNAcentral's name for it is "partial contains 5.8S ribosomal RNA, internal transcribed spacer 2, and large subunit ribosomal RNA". The stretch from base 1 to 120 matches the Rfam family "5.8S ribosomal RNA", at positions 35 to 154 of the family's 154-position model. The record is from RNAcentral.